GACGGAGGAUGCAAGCGUUAUCCGGAAUUAUUGGGCGUAAAGCGUACGUAGGCUGUUUCAUAAGUCUGUUGUCAAAGCGCGAGGCUUAACCUUGUAAAAGCAAUGGAAACUGCGAGACUAGAGAGAGAUAGGGGCAGGAGGAAUUCCAGGUGUAGCGGUGAAAUGCGUAGAUAUCUGGAAGAACACCAGUGGCGAAAGCGGCCUGUUGGAACUCUACUGACGCUGAAGUGCGAAAGCGAGGGGAGCGAAUAGG
This 253-nucleotide ribosomal RNA is filed under the name uncultured bacterium. RNAcentral's name for it is "partial 16S ribosomal RNA". It matches the Rfam family "Bacterial small subunit ribosomal RNA", at positions 524 to 776 of the family's 1533-position model. The record is from RNAcentral.